CCUACGGGAGGCAGCAGUGGGGAAUAUUGCGCAAUGGGCGAAAGCCUGACGCAGCGACGCCGCGUGAGGGAUGAAGGUCUUCGGAUCGUAAACCUCUGUCAGCAGGGAAGAACGGUCCCUGUGCUACUCAGCAGUGCAUUGACGGUACCUGCAAAGGAAGCACCGGCUAACUCCGUGCCAGCAGCCGCGGUGAUACGGAGGGUGCGAGCGUUAAUCGGAAUUACUGGGCGUAAAGCGCGCGUAGGCGGGAUGUCAAGUCAAGGGUGAAAUCCCCGCGCUCAACGUGGGAACUGCCGUUGAAACUGGCAAACUGGAGUGUGUGAGAGGAGAGUGGAAGUCCUGGUGUAGGAGUGAAAUCCGUAGAUAUCGGGAGGAACAGCAGUGGCGAAGGCGACUAGCUGGAAAAUAACUGACGCUGAGGAGCGAAAGCGUGGGUAGCAAACAGGAUUAGAUACCCGGGUAGUC
This 465-nucleotide ribosomal RNA is filed under the name uncultured bacterium. RNAcentral's name for it is "partial 16S ribosomal RNA". It matches the Rfam family "Bacterial small subunit ribosomal RNA", at positions 338 to 795 of the family's 1533-position model. The record is from RNAcentral.